AACGAACGCUGGCGGCAGGCUUAACACAUGCAAGUCGAACGGGCGUAGCAAUACGUCAGUGGCAGACGGGUGAGUAACGCGUGGGAACGUACCUUUUGGUUCGGAACAACACAGGGAAACUUGUGCUAAUACCGGAUAAGCCCUUACGGGGAAAGAUUUAUCGCCGAAAGAUCGGCCCGCGUCUGAUUAGCUAGUUGGUGAGGUAACGGCUCACCAAGGCGACGAUCAGUAGCUGGUCUGAGAGGAUGAUCAGCCACAUUGGGACUGAGACACGGCCCAAACUCCUACGGGAGGCAGCAGUGGGGAAUAUUGGACAAUGGGCGCAAGCCUGAUCCAGCCAUGCCGCGUGAGUGAUGAAGGCCCUAGGGUUGUAAAGCUCUUUUGUGCGGGAAGAUAAUGACGGUACCGCAAGAAUAAGCCCCGGCUAACUUCGUG
This 435-nucleotide ribosomal RNA is filed under the name uncultured bacterium. RNAcentral's name for it is "bacterial SSU rRNA". It matches the Rfam family "Bacterial small subunit ribosomal RNA", at positions 29 to 507 of the family's 1533-position model. The record is from RNAcentral.